This is a long non-coding RNA of Oncorhynchus keta (chum salmon), 1967 nucleotides long. RefSeq lists it as uncharacterized. The transcript has 4 exons. The record is from RefSeq and is a predicted model, not a curated record. NCBI's taxonomy places the organism in Eukaryota, Metazoa, Chordata, Actinopteri, Salmoniformes, Salmonidae.
CUCUACAACACAGGUAGUUUACUGUGGUCGUUCAUCACUUUACAACACAGGUAGUUUACUGUGGUCGUUUAUCAUACUCUACAACACGGGUAGUUUACUGUGGUCGUUCAUCAUACUCUACAACACGGGUAGUUUACUGUGGUCGUUUAUCAUACUCUACAACACGGGUAGUUUACUGUGGUCGUUUAUCAUACUCUACAACACGGGUAGUUUACUGUGGUCGUUUAUCAUACUCUACAACACAGGUAGUUUACUGUGGUCGUUCAUCAUACUCUACAACACGGGUAGUUUACUGUGGUCGUUUAUCAUACUCUACAACACAGGGGUAGUUUACUGUGGUCGUUCAUCAUACUCUACAACACAGGUAGUUUACUGUGGUCGUUCAUCAUACUCUACAACACAGGGGUAGUUUACUGUGGUCGUUUAUCACUCUACAACACAGGUAGUUUACUGUGGUCGUUUAUCAUACUCUACAACACAGGUAGUUUACUGUGGUCGUUCAUCAUACUCUACAACACAGGGGUAGUUUACUGUCAUCGUUUAUCAUACUCUACAACACAGGGGUAGUUUACUGUGGUCGUUUAUCAUACUCUACAACACGGGUAGUUUACUGUGGUCGUUUAUCAAUCAUACUCUACAACACAGGUAGUUUACUGUGGUCGUUUAUCAUACUCUACAACACAGGUAGUUUACUGUGGUCGUUUAUCAAUCAUACUCUACAACACAGGUAGUUUACUGUGGUCGUUUAUCAUACUCUACAACACAGGUAGUUUACUGUGGUCGUUUAUCAAUCAUACUCUACAACACAGGUAGUUUACUGUGGUCGUUUAUCAUACUCUACAACACGGGUAGUUUACUGUGGUCGUUAUCAUACUCUACAACACGGGUAGUUUACUGUGAUCGUUUAUCACUCUACAACACAGGUAGUUUACUGUGGUCGUUUAUCAUACUCUACAACACAGGUAGUUUACUGUGGUCGUUCAUCAUACUCUACAACACAGGUAGUUUACUGUGGUCGUUCAUCAUACUCUACAACACAGGGGUAGUUUACUGUGGUCGUUUAUCAAUCAUACUCUACAACACAGGUAGUUUACUGUGGUCGUUUAUCAUACUCUACAACACAGGGGUAGUUUACUGUGGUCGUUCAUCAUACUCUACAACACAGGGGUAGUUUACUGUCAUCGUUUAUCAUACUCUACAACACAGGGGUAGUUUACUGUGGUCGUUUAUCAUACUCUACAACACGGGUAGUUUACUGUGGUCGUUUAUCAAUCAUACUCUACAACACAGGUAGUUUACUGUGGUCGUUUAUCAUACUCUACAACACAGGUAGUUUACUGUGGUCGUUUAUCAAUCAUACUCUACAACACAGGUAGUUUACUGUGGUCGUUUAUCAUACUCUACAACACAGGUAGUUUACUGUGGUCGUUUAUCAUACUCUACAACACAGGUAGUUUACUGUGGUCGUUUAUCAAUCAUACUCUACAACACAGGUAGUUUACUGUGGUCGUUUAUCAUACUCUACAACACAGGUAGUUUACUGUGGUCGUUUAUCAUACUCUACAACACAGGUAGUUUACUGUGGUCGUUUAUCAUACUCUACAACACAGGUAGUUUACUGUGGUCGUUUAUCAUACUCUACAACACAGGGGUAGUUUACUGUGGUCGUUUAUCAUACUCUACAACACAGGGGUAGUUUACUGUGGUCGUUUAUCAAUCAUACUCUACAACACAGGUAGUUUACUGUGGUCGUUUAUCAAUCAUACUCUACAACACAGGUAGUUUACUGUGGUCGUUUAUCAUACUCUACAACACAGGUAGUUUACUGUGGUCGUUUAUCAUACUCUACAACACGGGUAGUUUACUGUGGUCGUUUAUCAUACUCUACAACACGGGUAGUUUACUGUGGUCGUUCAUCAUACUCUACAACACAGGUAGUUUACUGUGGUCGUUCAUCAUACUCUACA